GACGAACGCUGGCGGCGUGCUUAACACAUGCAAGUCGAACGGAAAGGCCCUGCUUGCAGGGUACUCGAGUGGCGAACGGGUGAGUAACACGUGGGUGAUCUGCCCUGCACUUCGGGAUAAGCUUGGGAAACUGGGUCUAAUACCGGAUAGGAGCCAUCUUUAGUGUGGUGGUUGGAAAGUUUUUUCGGUGUAGGGUGAGCUCGCGGCCUAUCAGCUUGUUGGUGGGGUAAUGGCCUACCAAGGCGGCGACGGGUAGCCGGCCUGAGAGGGUGUACGGCCACAUUGGGACUGAGAUACGGCCCAGACUCCUACGGGAGGCAGCAGUGGGGAAUAUUGCACAAUGGGCGCAAGCCUGAUGCAGCGACGCCGCGUGGGGGAUGAAGGCCUUCGGGUUGUAAACUCCUUUCGCUAGGGACGAAGCUUUGUUGUGACGGUACCUAGAUAAGAAGCACCGGCUAACUACGUG
RNAcentral lists this ribosomal RNA (466 nucleotides) under uncultured bacterium. Its description in RNAcentral is "partial 16S ribosomal RNA". It matches the Rfam family "Bacterial small subunit ribosomal RNA", at positions 28 to 507 of the family's 1533-position model. The record is from RNAcentral.